GCUAGGAACAUGAUACUAGGAUUAGUUUUGGGAGCAGCAUUUUGCUUUCCUCUUGGUUGGCUCCAUUUGAAGCUGAUAGAAAAAGCUAAUGAAGGGAAUCAAUCUGCAAAUGAAAACUUAGAUAAGAGAGACAUAAAAAGUGGUGUUAGUGCUACAAUUGAAAGGCUUGAAAGCAAUUUACACAAAUGAAAGCUAUUUGGCUACACAGAGGCAUGCCUUCUUGUUUAUAUUUUUCAGGGUGGUCAUGUAAUCACGCAAUGGAGGAUGUGACACCACUGGGAAUGGAAUGGCAUUAAUGUCCACUUAAUAGGAGAAACAGUUAUAUUAAUUAAAUAAUUUCGUUGACCAAGUUGAGUCACAUUUCUUCCAUAUGAAAUUAUGAUGUUAUUAUUAGUUUGUUAUUAUGUUUUUAGUCUUGUUAUUAUGACUUAUGAGGCUAUUGUGGUAUGAAUAUCGUCUGUUGCAGUGCCAAUAGUAUCUUGGGUCAGCCUCUAAGCUCCUAGUUUCUACCGUGUCUUGAGGCAAAAUCAUACGGGUGAAAUCUGCGACAUUGAUGCGGUCAUUGACUUGUAAAAAAGUUUAAAGUUGUUUGCUGA
Arachis ipaensis is the source of this 596-nucleotide non-coding RNA. Lineage: Eukaryota; Viridiplantae; Streptophyta; Magnoliopsida; Fabales; Fabaceae. The record is from RefSeq and is a predicted model, not a curated record.